UUCCACAAUUCGCAGUGCGUUGAAACUUCCGGCUCUUGUUAGGCGCUGGCGUCAACUAUAACAACAACACCAGCUACUGCCGCAGGGCUGCUUAAGACAAAACAAAGAACAUGUGUAUGUGUGUGUGUGUUUUGGAUUGUAACCAAAGGUUAGGGAGAGUGCGAAAUCACAUGCCGAUGCUUAAUGCAGAGGAAUCUUUUAAAUUUUAAUGAAUUUAAAGAACACACUUCCAACUGACCACCAGCCAAACCAGGGUAAUAGUAACAAGUAUAUGAGCCUGGAGAUGCAGACGACUGUCGCCGCCACAAAGACAAAAGAAAUAGCAAGGAUCACAGCCUACAAACUGAAUAAUUCAUGAAUGUCGCCAACGCCAGCCGAGUCGAAAAUGACAACGAAGGCGUUCUAUGCUAGUGUUAUAAUUAAUGAUGUUAUAUGUUAUAUGGUAUGAGCUGGCGCCGAGCAGUUAGCAGUUACAAAUCAGACACAACGGCAAGGAUGACAGAAUUUCAAAAGUCCCAGUCCAAGAUGUGUGUGUUUGUGCACA
Molecule: long non-coding RNA, 544 nt
Organism: Drosophila novamexicana
Lineage: Eukaryota; Metazoa; Arthropoda; Insecta; Diptera; Drosophilidae
Exons: 3
Source: RefSeq, a predicted model, not a curated record